RNAcentral lists this ribosomal RNA (253 nucleotides) under uncultured bacterium. RNAcentral describes it as "partial 16S ribosomal RNA". It matches the Rfam family "Bacterial small subunit ribosomal RNA", at positions 524 to 776 of the family's 1533-position model. The record is from RNAcentral.
UACGUAGGGGGCUAGCGUUGUCCGGAAUCAUUGGGCGUAAAGCGCGUGUAGGCGGUCCGGUAAGUCCGCUGUGAAAGUCGGGGGCUCAACCCUCGGAUGCCGGUGGAUACUGUCGGGCUUGAGUACGGAAGAGGCGAGUGGAAUUCCUGGUGUAGCGGUGAAAUGCGCAGAUAUCGCCUGGAACGCCGACGGUGAAAACAGCUCGCUGGGGGUGUUCUGACGCUGAGACACGAAAGCCAGGGGAGCGAACGGG